GCCGAAGUAGCUCAGUUGGUAGAGCAACGGUUUCGUAAACCGUAGGUCACGGGUUCGAAUCCCGUCUUCGGCUCCA
Molecule: transfer RNA, 76 nt
Filed under: Verrucomicrobiota bacterium
Lineage: Bacteria; Pseudomonadati; Verrucomicrobiota
Also listed under: 2 other names
Description: Verrucomicrobia bacterium tRNA-Thr
Rfam family: tRNA
About the family: Transfer RNA (tRNA) molecules are approximately 80 nucleotides in length. Their secondary structure includes four short double-helical elements and three loops (D, anti-codon, and T loops). Further hydrogen bonds mediate the characteristic L-shaped molecular structure. tRNAs have two regions of fundamental functional importance: the anti-codon, which is responsible for specific mRNA codon recognition, and the 3' end, to which the tRNAs corresponding amino acid is attached (by aminoacyl-tRNA synthetases). tRNAs cope with the degeneracy of the genetic code in two manners: having more than one tRNA (with a specific anti-codon) for a particular amino acid; and 'wobble' base-pairing, i.e. permitting non-standard base-pairing at the 3rd anti-codon position.
Source: RNAcentral